Long non-coding RNA from Coregonus clupeaformis (lake whitefish), 752 nucleotides. RefSeq lists it as uncharacterized. The transcript is spliced from 4 exons. The record is from RefSeq and is a predicted model, not a curated record. Lineage: Eukaryota; Metazoa; Chordata; Actinopteri; Salmoniformes; Salmonidae.
AGUACACGCCACCUAAUAAUGUUCACGGCGCAUAGCGUGUGUGUUUACAGUCUGGGUUGAGCUGCAGUGUCCGCGGCACAGAGAAAAGGAUGAGACAUUUGUGUGACAGGAAGAUAAAAAUAAAUGUGCCCGCAGGAGGAUACAGUAUGGCAUCUGAGCAGAUGAUCAUGAACUUCAUCCAGUUACAUCAGCCAAUACAGACCAUUCACACAGUCCAGUCACUCAGCCCUAUCCAGAAGCUCUCAAGGUCCUACACUACUUCCUCAUGACUCUCACUCACUCAGAUGGUAUGUAGGCUGUUGAUGGCACCUACAGGCCUGUUUGAGGGACAGCUGGACAGAACAUAUCAGAAUUCUUGGACCUCAGCUGAGACCCUCCUCUCCUUCCCUUGUCUUUCAACGAAAGCCCCUUUACACUUCCUGUUUGGCAUGAUGCUCUCAAGGCGUGUCUCUUUCUCAUGUUGGGUGGUAUUACCUAUAGAUGACUCCUAGACACUAACAUAGUUUAAUGUCAACAUCAUGCUAUUUACUUGUUACCUGUGUGUUAUUAUACUGUGUCCCUUUCACAUAAUUUUAAUGAUCCCUCCACUGCCACAUGCUCUGUCUUUCUCUCCAGAAUACAUUAGGGAAAGUUGCUUUGCUGUUGGCACCAAUCCCAGGCUGCCAGACAUCAACGACUUUAUCCCCCUUAUCCUAAACUUAGCUAACUCUUGUUCAACUGCUCUUUGAUUAAAAUCGGUUCAAUUAAAUGUU